UGAGCGAAGCCGCGCGCGCAGCCUGAGCCGAGCCCCUAUCGAUCUCGGGCACUGGUCGACCCCGUGCACUGUAGGAAUGUCGUACGUGAGCUAGACUCCUCCAGGAACCCUACCGAAGCCGUUUCCCCAUCGCCCCUCGUCCACACGCCUCUGCUUGGCGAUUUGGAUCUCGCCAGGAGCUCCACCGUCUGCCGCCGUUCGCCGAAAGAUUGUGCCGCCAGCACCAGAACGCUGCCGCCGCCGGAGCACACCACCGUUCCCGUCGUCGUUGCUGCCCGCAGAGGACGCCCCGUCGCCGCCCGACCUCACCUACGCCUCCGUCACUCGACGCUGCACCCGUCCGUCCCUUCGUCUUCGCCGGAGACCCACCGGAGGAGCGCCGCCGCCGCCGCCCUCUCCUUUUGAUUGUCCGGAGUGCGACGCGAUCUAUUUUCAGGAGUGUGACUUUCUGAACCAGAACCAAG
Long non-coding RNA from Triticum aestivum (bread wheat), 464 nucleotides. RefSeq lists it as uncharacterized. The record is from RefSeq and is a predicted model, not a curated record. The transcript is spliced from 3 exons. NCBI's taxonomy places the organism in Eukaryota, Viridiplantae, Streptophyta, Magnoliopsida, Poales, Poaceae.